GGAGGGAUGGCCGAGUGGUCGAAGGCGGCGGUCUUGAAAACCGCUGAGGCUUCGCGCCUCCGUGGGUUCGAAUCCCACUCCCUCCGCCA
Molecule: transfer RNA, 89 nt
Filed under: Acidobacteriota bacterium
Lineage: Bacteria; Pseudomonadati; Acidobacteriota
Also listed under: 1 other name
Description: tRNA-Ser
Rfam family: tRNA
About the family: Transfer RNA (tRNA) molecules are approximately 80 nucleotides in length. Their secondary structure includes four short double-helical elements and three loops (D, anti-codon, and T loops).
Source: RNAcentral